This 346-nucleotide ribosomal RNA is filed under the name uncultured bacterium. RNAcentral describes it as "partial 16S ribosomal RNA". It matches the Rfam family "Bacterial small subunit ribosomal RNA", at positions 338 to 682 of the family's 1533-position model. The record is from RNAcentral.
CCUACGGGAGGCAGCAGUGAGGAAUAGUGGUCAAUGGCCGGAAGGCUGAACCAGCCAAGCCGCGUGAAGGACGAAGGUGCCAAGCAUUGUAAACUUCUUUUGUCAAGGGACAAAAUCAGGCUCGAGAGCCUGACCGAGGGUACUUGAAGAAAAAGCAUCGGCUAACUCCGUGCCAGCAGCCGCGGUAAUACGGAGGAUGCGAGCGUUAUCCGGAUUUAUUGGGUUUACAGGGUGCGUAGGCGGACUGUUAAGUCAGCGGGAAAAGCCCGGGGCUCAACCCCGGCGAGCCGUUGAAACUGGCUGUCUUGCGCUGUCGAGAGGUAUGCGGAAUGCGCCGUGUAGCGGU